Molecule: ribosomal RNA, 871 nt
Filed under: uncultured Planctomycetota bacterium
Lineage: Bacteria; Pseudomonadati; Planctomycetota
Description: bacterial SSU rRNA
Rfam family: Bacterial small subunit ribosomal RNA
Source: RNAcentral
AGAGUUUGAUCCUGGCUCAGAAUGAACGUUGGCGGCGUGGAUUAGGCAUGCAAGUCGAGCGAGAAUUUGUGAUUGGGAGCUUCGGCCGAAGAGAUCAAAGGAAAGCGGCAAACGGCGUAGUAAUGCGUAGGUACGUACCCUCAGGUUGGGAAUAGCCACGGGAAACUGUGGGUAAUGCCCAAUAAUAUCUGCGGAUCAAAGGUGUGAUUCCGCCUGAGGAGCGGCUUACGUGAUAUUAGCUUGUUGGUGGGGUAAUGGCCUACCAAGGCAACGAUGUCUAGGGGGUGUGAGAGCAUGGCCCCCACGACCGGAACUGAGACACUGUCCGGACACCUACGGGUGGCUGCAGUCGAGAAUCUUCCGCAAUGGACGAGAGUCUGACGGAGCGACGCCGCGUGCGGGAUGAAGGCCCUUGGGUUGUAAACCGCUGUCAGAGGGGAUGAAAUCAUGGUGGGCAAUCCCUCCAUGUUGACAGAGCCUCAGAGGAAGCACGGGCUAAGUACGUGCCAGCAGCCGCGGUAACACGUACUGUGCGAACGUUAUUCGGAAUCACUGGGCUUAAAGGGUACGUAGGCGGUUUAUCAAGUCAGGUGUGAAAUGCCUGAGCUCAACUGAGGCACUGCGCUUGAAACUGAUAAACUAGAGUAUUCCAGAGGUGUGCGGAACUGCCAGUGGAGCGGUGAAAUGCGUUGAUAUUGGCAGGAACACCGGAGGCGAAGGCGGCACACUGGGGGAUAACUGACGCUGAGGUACGAAAGCCAGGGUAGCGAACGGGAUUAGAUACCCCGGUAGUCCUGGCUGUAAACGAUGAGCACUGGGCGAGAGAGAGUUCGCUCUUUUUUGCCGUAGCGAAAGCAUUAAGUGCUCCGCC